This 88-nucleotide small RNA is filed under the name Acinetobacter gerneri DSM 14967 = CIP 107464 = MTCC 9824. RNAcentral's name for it is "Acinetobacter gerneri DSM 14967 = CIP 107464 t44 RNA". It matches the Rfam family "t44 RNA". Rfam says of the family: This family consists of a number of bacterial RNA genes of between 135 and 170 bases in length. The t44 gene is found between the map and rpsB genes in all species in the full alignment apart from Shigella flexneri. Lineage: Bacteria; Pseudomonadati; Pseudomonadota; Gammaproteobacteria; Moraxellales; Moraxellaceae. The record is from Rfam by way of RNAcentral.
AAUGGUGAAACUAAAAUCCGCACAUAUAUCGUCACAUUACUCUGGGUGCCUUUUAAAGGUGGAGAAUGCGGAUAUAUGGAGGCCUAAC